GCCGUUGAUGGCUUCGCCCAUGCUCUUGUAAUCAAGAAGGUCCGCCUUCCAAAGUGUUAACCUUUCAUUUGCUCCUUCAAGCUUCUUUAGCCUUUCUGGAGGAGAAGUUUAACGAGCCAGGAAGCGAUGAAGCCUCCGGCGCCGGUGACGCAGACGACUUGGCCGGAAAUCGACGGCAUGGUUUCUUUUCAGGUGGGUGUAUGGAUAUGAUGAUGUUGUUGAAAGAGAAAGGAGAUAUAUGGGCAUGGUGCGCAGUAUAUAUAUUAUAUAUAGUAAAGUCCCCUUAGCUUCCCUCACCAACUACGUUUGCAAACUCUAUAAACUAAUUCCCUUUUUAGAAUUAUUUAAAAAUUUUAAAAAUAUAGUGUCAAUAUUUUACUCUUAAUAUAAGAUCAAAUAAUGGUUUAUAUAUA
Long non-coding RNA from Ipomoea nil (Japanese morning glory), 413 nucleotides. RefSeq lists it as uncharacterized. Lineage: Eukaryota; Viridiplantae; Streptophyta; Magnoliopsida; Solanales; Convolvulaceae. The transcript is spliced from 2 exons. The record is from RefSeq and is a predicted model, not a curated record.